UACCCGCUGAAACUUAAGCAUAUCAAUAAGCGGAGGAAAAGAAACCAACAGGGAUUGCCUUAGUAACUGCGAGUGAAGCGGCAAAAGCUCAAAUUUGAAAUCGGUGUCCUUCUUGGCCAUCGAGUUGUAAUUUGGAGGGAUAACUUCGGUAUGGACUACAUCGUAAGUUCCUUGGAACAGGACGUCAUAGAGGGUGAGAAUCCCGUGUCUUGGUGUUUGGCCGUGCCAUGUGAAGUGUCUCCGACGAGUCGAGUUGUUUGGGAAUGCAGCUCAAAAUGGGUGGUAAAUUUCAUCUAAAGCUAAAUAUUGGCGAGAGACCGAUAGCGCACAAGUAGAGUGAUCGAAAGAUGAAAAGCACUUUGAAAAGAGAGUUAAAAAGUACGUGAAAUUGUUGAAAGGGAAGCGCUUGCGACCAGACUCGAUCUUUGGUGAUCAGCCGGGCUUCGGUCCGGUGCCCUCACCAUUGAUUGGGCCAGCAUCGGUUCUGACGGUGGGAUAAAAGGAGGAGGAAUGUGGCUCCCUUCGGGGAGUGUUAUAGCCUCCUUCACAAUGCCACCAGUUGGGACCGAGGACCGCGCUUCGGCUAGGAUGCUGGCGUAAUGGUCUUAAGCGACCCGUCUUGAAACACGGACCAAGGAGUCUAACAUCUAUGCGAGUGUUCGGGUGGAAAACCCUUGCGCGUAAUGAAAGUGAACGGAGGUGUGAACCCUUCACCGGGUGCAACAUCGACCGGUCCUGAUGUCUUCGGAAGGAUCUGAGUAAGAGCAUAGCUGUUGGGACCCGAAAGAUGGUGAACUAUGCCUGAAUAGGGUGAAGCCAGAGGAAACUCUGGUGGAGGCUCGCAGCGGUUCUGACGUGCAAAUCGAUCGUCAAAUUUGGGUAUAGGGGCGAAAGACUAAUCGAAC
RNAcentral lists this ribosomal RNA (905 nucleotides) under Tricharina tophiseda. RNAcentral describes it as "partial large subunit ribosomal RNA". It matches the Rfam family "Eukaryotic large subunit ribosomal RNA", at positions 22 to 940 of the family's 3401-position model. Lineage: Eukaryota; Fungi; Ascomycota; Pezizomycetes; Pezizales; Pyronemataceae. The record is from RNAcentral.